UACGUAGGGUGCGAGCGUUUAAUCGGAAUUACUGGGCGUAAAGCGUGCGCAGGCGGUGAUGUAAGACCGAUGUGAAAUCCCCGGGCUUAACCUGGGAACUGCAUUUGUGACUGGCGAGCUAGAGUAUGGCAGAGGGGGGUAGAAUUCCACGUGUAGCAGUGAAAUGCGUAGAGAUGUGGAGGAAUACCGAUGGCGAAGGCAGCCCCCUGGGCCAAUACUGACGCUCAUGCACGAAAGCGUGGGGAGCAAACAGG
This 254-nucleotide ribosomal RNA is filed under the name uncultured bacterium. Its description in RNAcentral is "partial 16S ribosomal RNA". It matches the Rfam family "Bacterial small subunit ribosomal RNA", at positions 524 to 776 of the family's 1533-position model. The record is from RNAcentral.